CACAGCUGUAUGAUUAGUUUAUUUAUCCAGAGAGAAGGCUGGUAUGUGAGUAAAGAAAAAAAAGGUAUAAUGCACCUCCACAUUAAAACAUCUUCCAGGAAAAUAAUUAAAUAACAGCAUUCAAAUGUACCAGACAAGCAGGAGGAAUGAGUACAGUGACGUGUUACAAUGUGCCGAGACCGGAUCUCCCAGCAAAGCGCAGCUUCGACUGUUUCUCCCUCCAGGAAAAAUAAAACGUAACAGGAUGAGGGGGGGUUGCUUAGCAACGUGAUUAAAAAAAAAGAAGUCAGAGGGUUUCGGCGGGCCGAUCACAGUGGAGGAGAAGGAAUGCAUAUGACUGGUUUGGAUCAGAGCGGGAGGCGGGGGGGCGUCAUCAGACCCCCCAAACAAUCGCCUGAGGGGCGGAUGAACACUCGUCACUUCCUGCCGGAUCAACAGUGCAUCACAAGGGGAGAAAAAUACUGGUUUUACACUUUCUCUAAAAUAUAUACAGAGUAAAAUAAGUUAUGUUUCCAUAAGGUCGAUAUGCACGUAGAGUCUCUAAAGAAAGCUACUUAUUUGGUUAAAGCGGAGACCGAUCCUCUCAGAGCAGAUCAAUAAACCGAUAUAUAUAUAUAGAUUUCUCUUUUUACACUCCCUGAAAGGCAGAACGUCUCCCACAGGGCUACAAUGUUAAAUAUCCUAACAUUUUACAACCUAGGAUGUUAGCUCUAAUAAAAAAUACAUUUCUCAAGAAAAUAUUCUCGCAGUGCUUUUUUUUUUUCCUCUUUCAAGCAUGCGUUUGAAAACGUUUUAAACAAGGUGUUUUAUUCUCUCUCCCGUGUUCUGCGUAUGAAUCUUGCCGGCGUGUCAUCACACACACACACACACACGCGCACACACGCACACACGCUCCCCAUGCUCCCAUGACCCCCCCGGCGCCCCCCCCCUCUGGAGGAGGAGCCGUCAGGUUCCAUCCGGCAAAGAAACCCUGAAGCUAAACAGAAGUCAGCGCUUUUCUUCCCAGAAAAAAAAAAAAAACACCACACGACUUUAUUGCAACUGAAUUCUGCAGGUCGGCUUCGUCCGGGAAAAGACGUCAGCCCGAAGCAUUCAUACGCGCAACACAUCUAUAUGCACAUAGAUCUAUAGAUAUGGACAUCUAUAGAUCUAUAGCAUGUAGAUGUAUAAAUAAGGAGUCAGUUAUUCCCACUCAUCCGUUAGCCCUUUAUAGGUGGAGUCUCUCUACAGCUGAGGUGAGGUCUGUGUAGAGCGAUGGGGGGGGGGGGGGGGGGGGUGUCACAGUCCGGUGCUGACCCCGAGGGCCUGGACGGCCUGCGCCCGGCCCAGCGCCUCGCGGAUCUGCAGGUUGAGCUCGGUGAGGCGGGCGCUGGCCGGGCUGAGGUCCCGGCUCGGCCCGACCACGGCGAGGCAGCCCGUCUGGCCCAGCGUCUGGUGGCGGAAGUAGAUGUGCAGGAGGGUCUGCACGGCGUCGUCCGCCUCGCUGCCGAAGAUGUCGCUGGGCCACAGGGACCUGCAGAGGUCGAAUGAGUGGAACACUGAAUUGGGGUCCGACGUGCGGGCGAGGAUUACUUCGGACUUACUGAACUGCCUUUGGUCAGGUGGGCGCUCACCUGAAGACUUUGACCUGGGAGAGGGCGGAGCCAAAGUCUCUGGCUCUCAGCGUCUCGAUGAGGGACUGGAUGGCCGUCUCGGUGUUGGUCUGAGGCGACUCCGUCAUGCACACGUCCUCCGGGCCGUCACUUCCCGUCUCCGCGUCCUUCAGACAGCUCUCGAGGACGGUGAGCUCCUCGGACAUGUUGGUCACCUUAACGCGACGAGAUCGAUGUCAAUGACCGUUACGGCGCACACCAAAUAUUAACCUCAUCGCUCCACGUACAAAAGGUUCAACUCCAUCAGGUACAAAUCGGAUUAAAGCCCCAGCAAGACGGAGCAGCGCGUCUUAAAGGGACAGUACGGCGGAGUCAGUGACGACUUCCCUUCUCAAACAAGCUCUGAAGUUCUGGCCGAGCAGCAGAGACCUGCGUGGAUGCUGGAAGCCGCGUUUUAUUGUUUUACGGCGUUGAUUUGACGCAAUAGCAGCAGCAGCGGCCUGCUCCUGAUUCUGAGAGAGACUCGAGCCGAGAGGACGAGGACUAAAGCGUCUUUGAGUUCAACGUGCGUCAGGAACCAGGUCUCACCUCCGCCUCCCUCUUCAUGGUGUCCACCCUGCUGAUCAGCUUGCAGUAGGCCUGGAAGAGCAGCAGCAGCUGGAAGUGCAGCUUGUAGAGCCGCCGGCACAACUCCAGCUCCUGCAGGCACAAACACAAGGGGGGGGGGGGGUCACGUGAGGGAAGGACUUGAUGAUCCAGUGAGUAGGGGGGGACGGGGGUCCUGGGUUAGAGACGUGGGACGAGAUGAGCGGGUUAAAAUGUGGGGGCCGUCUGGUCGAGUCUACCACUAGUAGGAUUAGUCAUCCCUGGGAGCGAGUGACCCGGAGGUGAUUGCUGGGAGGUCAGAGGUCACACGCUGAUCCAGGAGAACGUGAUUCGAACAGGCUGGAGAUGGAACCAAACAUGCAGAAGGACGGGGGUCUCGAUCCUGACCGGUGACCACGUCUACAGGCACAUGCAGCCUUAAGAGUCCCUGUGGCGAUCUGGUGGAGGUCUAGAGGGGACCAGGACCAGACUGGUUCAUAUCUGGGCUUUGGCCGGUCACGUGACACCGAGUGUCCGUGCAGAGAUGCAGAGGAGGGGGAGUUGUGGGGGGGGGGGGGGGGUGUUGCCAACAGUGCAGGUGUGACAGCGAUGAGAUGGUCAGCGUUUUGUCUAAAUGUCAUUAUGAGUCUAUAACAUGAGAACCACUUACUGCUAGAGUUUCCAUUUGCUAAGCAAAGAAGGACACACACACACACACACAACAAACAAAACAGAAGAAGAGGAAGAUCAAGAAUUAGUGAGCUUUGACAAGACAACAGAGACACGCAGGGGGCGGAGCUUCUAUCGCCUUACCCCUCGACAGGUGAGCUCAAUGCAGGGAGUGUGUGUGUGUGUGUGUGUGUGUGUG
Molecule: long non-coding RNA, 3045 nt
Organism: Gasterosteus aculeatus aculeatus (three-spined stickleback)
Lineage: Eukaryota; Metazoa; Chordata; Actinopteri; Perciformes; Gasterosteidae
Source: Ensembl